AGCUUCAUCAUCUUGCCUAUUGAUGCAUCCAAGAAGUCUGGGAGCGAUAGUAGUCUAAGUGUGUGCCCCGUUGGUGCUGUAUCAAAAACUAUGCGAGAGAAGGCACUAUACUCCUUUGAUUCAAGAAAUUGCAUGACCUUUGAAAUUGCAAUAGCCUCAUCUAGACCAGGUGGAGGAGUGUCCAACAGCUCUCCAAGUUUUAGUUCUCCCAACUGCUCAGCAAGCAUUCCGAGGCCCAUGCUGUCCAUAAUAUUUUUGACACCUUUGUCACCAUGUAGUUGGCUCGCUGCGCGGAACUCUUCCCUUGUUCUCUCAGGGCUUAUCUCUAGUGCAUAUAAUGGAGAAUCCACUCCUUGAACCGGA
RNAcentral lists this unclassified non-coding RNA (363 nucleotides) under Hevea brasiliensis (rubber tree). Lineage: Eukaryota; Viridiplantae; Streptophyta; Magnoliopsida; Malpighiales; Euphorbiaceae. The record is from RNAcentral.